RNAcentral lists this ribosomal RNA (523 nucleotides) under Acrosternum rubescens. Its description in RNAcentral is "partial large subunit ribosomal RNA". It matches the Rfam family "Eukaryotic large subunit ribosomal RNA", at positions 753 to 1264 of the family's 3401-position model. The record is from RNAcentral. Lineage: Eukaryota; Metazoa; Arthropoda; Insecta; Hemiptera; Pentatomidae.
CCUCACUCCCGGGGCGUCUCGUUCUCAUCACUAGUGUAUACGCACCAGGAGCGCACACGCUGGUGCCCGAAAGAUGAUGAACUAUGCCUGGCCAGGACCAAUCCACGGGAAACCCUGGUGGAGGUCCGAAGCGAUUCUCACUUGCAAAUCGAUCGUCUGAGCUGGGUAUAGGGGCGAAAGACCAAUCUAACCAUCUAGUAGCUGGUUCCCUCUGAAGUUUCCCUCAGGAUAGCUGGCUCUCGGGAAGAGACAAGUCUCAUCCGGUAGAGCGAAUGAUUAGAGGUGAUGGGGUCGAAACGACUUCAACCUAUUCUCAAACUCCCAAUAGAUGAGAGCCCAGGCUUGCUUAAAAGUGAAGCCGCGGGACUCGGAUCAGAGAUGCCAAGUGUCCCAAUUUUGGUAAGCAGAACUGGCGCUGUGCGAUGAACCAAACGCAGAGUUAAGGCCCCUGAUUCGACCCUCACGUGAAACCAUGAAAGGCGUUGGUUGCUUAAGACAGCAGGACGGUGGCCAUGGAAGUCGG